AUGGUUUAAGAUGGGCAUGCGCGUCAUUAGCUAGUUGGUGGUGUAAUGGACCACCAAGGCUACGAUGACUAGGGGGUCUGAGAGGAUGUCCCCCCACACUGGUACUGAGACACGGACCAG
Molecule: ribosomal RNA, 120 nt
Filed under: uncultured bacterium
Lineage: Bacteria
Description: partial 16S ribosomal RNA
Rfam family: Bacterial small subunit ribosomal RNA
Source: RNAcentral